This 468-nucleotide ribosomal RNA is filed under the name uncultured bacterium. RNAcentral describes it as "partial 16S ribosomal RNA". It matches the Rfam family "Bacterial small subunit ribosomal RNA", at positions 28 to 507 of the family's 1533-position model. The record is from RNAcentral.
GACGAACGCUGGCGGCGUGCUUAACACAUGCAAGUCGAACGGAAAGGCCCUGCUUUUGUGGGGUGCUCGAGUGGCGAACGGGUGAGUAACACGUGAGUAACCUGCCCUUGACUUUGGGAUAACUUCAGGAAACUGGGGCUAAUACCGGAUAGGAGCUCCUGCUGCAUGGUGGGGGUUGGAAAGUUUCGGCGGUUGGGGAUGGACUGGCGGCUUAUCAGCUUGUUGGUGGGGUAGUGGCUUACCAAGGCUUUGACGGGUAGCCGGCCUGAGAGGGUGACCGGCCGCAUUGGGACUGAGGUACGGCCCAGACUCCUACGGGAGGCAGCAGUGGGGAAUAUUGCACCAUGGGCGGAAGCCUGAUGCAGCAACGCCGCGUGCGGGAUGACGGCCUUCGGGUUGUAGACCGCUUUCGCCUGUGACGAAGCGUGAGUGACGGUAAUGGGUAAAGAAGCACCGGCUAACUACGUG